GACGAACGCUGGCGGCGUGCUUAACACAUGCAAGUCGAACGGAAAGGCCCUGCUUUUGUGGGGUGCUCGAGUGGCGAACGGGUGAGUAACACGUGAGUAACCUGCCCUUGACUUUGGGAUAACUUCAGGAAACUGGGGCUAAUACCGGAUAGGAGCUCCUGCUGCAUGGUGGGGGUUGGAAAGUUUCGGCGGUUGGGGAUGGACUCGCGGCUUAUCAGCUUGUUGGUGGGGUAGUGGCUUACCAAGGCUUUGACGGGUAGCCGGCCUGAGAGGGUGACCGGCCACAUUGGGACUGAGAUACGGCCCAGACUCCUACGGGAGGCAGCAGUGGGGAAUAUUGCACAAUGGGCGGAAGCCUGAUGCAGCAACGCCGCGUGCGGGAUGACGGCCUUCGGGUUGUAAACCGCUUUCGCCUGUGACGAAGCGUGAGUGACGGUAAUGGGUAAAGAAGCACCGGCUAACUACGUGCCAGCAGCCGCGGUGAUACGUAGGGUGCGAGCGUUGUCCGGAUUUAUUGGGCGUAAAGGGCUCGUAGGUGGUUGAUCGCGUCGGAAGUGUAAUCUUGGGGCUUAACCCUGAGCGUGCUUUCGAUACGGGUUGACUUGAGGAAGGUAGGGGAGAAUGGAAUUCCUGGUGGAGCGGUGGAAUGCGCAGAUAUCAGGAGGAACACCAGUGGCGAAGGCGGUUCUCUGGGCCUUUCCUGACGCUGAGGAGCGAAAGCGUGGGGAGCGAACAGGCUUAGAUACCCUGGUAGUCCACGCUGUAAACGGUGGGUACUAGGUGUGGGGUCCAUUCCACGGGUUCCGUGCCGUAGCUAACGCUUUAAGUACCCCGCCUGGGGAGUACGGCCGCAAGGCUAAAACUCAAAGGAAUUGACGGGGUCCCGCACAAGCGGCGGAGCAUGCGGAUUAAUUCGAUGCAACGCGUAGAACCUUACCCGGGUUUGACAUGGAUCGGGAGUGCUCAGAGAUGGGUGUGCCUCUUUUGGGGUCGGUUCACAGGUGGUGCAUGGCUGUCGUCAGCUCGUGUCGUGAGAUGUUGGGUUAAGUCCCGCAACGAGCGCAACCCUUGUUCACUGUUGCCAGCACGUUAUGGUGGGGACUCAGUGGAGACCGCCGGGGUCAACUCGGAGGAAGGUGAGGAUGACGUCAAGUCAUCAUGCCCCUUAUGUCCAGGGCUUCACGCAUGCUACAAUGGCUGGUACAGAGAGUGGCGAGCCUGUGAGGGUGAGCGAAUCUCGGAAAGCCGGUCUCAGUUCGGAUUGGGGUCUGCAACUCGACCUCAUGAAGUCGGAGUCGCUAGUAAUCGCAGAUCAGCAACGCUGCGGUGAAUACGUUCCCGGG
RNAcentral lists this ribosomal RNA (1343 nucleotides) under uncultured bacterium. Its description in RNAcentral is "16S ribosomal RNA". It matches the Rfam family "Bacterial small subunit ribosomal RNA", at positions 28 to 1378 of the family's 1533-position model. The record is from RNAcentral.